Molecule: ribosomal RNA, 484 nt
Filed under: uncultured bacterium
Lineage: Bacteria
Description: partial 16S ribosomal RNA
Rfam family: Bacterial small subunit ribosomal RNA
Source: RNAcentral
AUUGAACGCUGGCGGCAUGCUUUACACAUGCAAGUCGAACGGUAACAGGGAGCUUGCUCCGCUGACGAGUGGCGAACGGGUGAGUAAUAUAUCGGAACGUACCCAAGAGUGGGGGAUAACGUAGCGAAAGUUACGCUAAUACCGCAUACGAUCUAAGGAUGAAAGCAGGGGACCUUCGGGCCUUGUGCUCCUGGAGCGGCCGAUAUCUGAUUAGCUAGUUGGUGAGGUAAAGGCUCACCAAGGCGACGAUCAGUAGCUGGUCUGAGAGGACGACCAGCCACACCAGCACUGAGACACGGUCCAGACUCCUCCGGGAGGCAGAAGUGGGGAAUUUUGGACAAUGGGCGCAAGCCUGAUCCAGCAAUGCCGCGUGAGUGAAGAAGGCCUUCGGGUUGUAAAGCUCUUUUGUCAGGGAAGAAACGGGAUUGGCUAAUAUCCAGUCCUAAUGACGGUACCUGAAGAAUAAGCACCGGCUAACUACGUG